UGGGGAAUAUUGCACAAUGGGCGAAAGCCUGAUGCAGCAACGCCGCGUGAGUGAUGAAGGCCUUCGGGUUGUAAAGCUCUGUCUUUUGGGACGAUAAUGACGGUACCAAAGGAGGAAGCCACGGCUAACUACGUGCCAGCAGCCGCGGUAAUACGUAGGUGGCAAGCGUUGUCCGGAUUUACUGGGCGUAAAGGAUGCGUAGGCGGAUUUUUAAGUGAGAUGUGAAAACCCUAAGCUUAACUUGGGGACUGCAUUUCAUACUGGAAAUCUAGAGUGCGGGAGAGGAGAAUGGAAUUCCUAGUGUAGCGGUGAAAUGCGUAGAGAUUAGGAAGAACACCAGUGGCGAAGGCGAUUCUCUGGACCGUAACUGACGCUGAGGCAUGAAAAGCGUGGGUAGCAAAACAGGAUUAGAUACCCUGGUAGUCCACGCCGUAAACGAUGAGUACUAGGUGUAGGAGGUAUCGACCCCUUCUGUGCCGCAGUUAACACAAUAAGUACUCCGCCUGGGAAGUACGAUCGCAAGAUUAAAAACUUAAAUGAAUUGAC
Molecule: ribosomal RNA, 546 nt
Filed under: uncultured bacterium
Lineage: Bacteria
Description: partial 16S ribosomal RNA
Rfam family: Bacterial small subunit ribosomal RNA
Source: RNAcentral